Molecule: ribosomal RNA, 274 nt
Filed under: uncultured bacterium
Lineage: Bacteria
Description: partial 16S ribosomal RNA
Rfam family: Bacterial small subunit ribosomal RNA
Source: RNAcentral
AUACGGAGGGUGCAAGCGUUGUUCGGAAUUAUUGGGCGUAAAGAGCAUGUAGGCGGUUCGUUAAGUCUGACGUGAAAGCCCGGGGCUCAACCCCGGAAGUGCAUUGGAUACUGGCGAACUUGAGUACGGGAGAGGAAAGUGGAAUUUCGAGUGUAGGGGUGAAAUCCGUAGAUAUUCGAAGGAACACCAGUGGCGAAGGCGGCUUUCUGGACCGAUACUGACGCUGAGAUGCGAAAGCGUGGGGAGCAAACAGGAUUAGAAACCCGGGUAGUCC